UUAUGGGGCAGAGCCUCACUUAUGGGGCAGAGCCUCACUUAUGGGUCACUGUCACACUUAUGGGUCACAGCCCCACUUGUGGGUCACAUCCCAGUUAUGGGGCAGGACCCCACUUAUGGGGCAGAGCUCCACUUAUGGGGCAGAGCCUCACUUAUGGGUCACAGCCCCACUUAUGGGUCACAGCCCCACUUGUGGGUCAGAUCCCACUUAUGGGGCAGAGCCCCACUUAUGGGUCUGUGUGGGUUAAUGCCCUACUUAUGGGGCAGAGCCCCACUUAUGGGUCUGUGUGGGUCACAGCCCUACUUAUGGGGCAGAGCCCCACUUAUGGGUCAGUCUGUGUGGGUUAAUGCCCUACUUAUGGGUCAGAUCCCACUUGUGGGUCAGAUCCCACUUAUGGGUCAGGGCCCCACUUAUGGGUCACAGCCCCACUUAUGGGGCAGAGCUCCACUUGUGGGUCACACCUCCAUUUAUGGGUCACAGCCCCUGUGACCUAUGGGGCAAAGGCUGACCUAUGGGGCAGAGACGCAGCUAUGGGGCAGAGAUCCUCAUCUAUGGGGCGGAGACCCAUCUAUGGGGCAGAGACCCUCAUCUAUGGGGCAGAGAUCCUCAUCUAUGGGGUGGAGGCUCUGACCUGC
This 635-nucleotide long non-coding RNA is filed under the name Phasianus colchicus (ring-necked pheasant). RNAcentral describes it as "lncRNA (ENSPCLG00000017625.1)". Lineage: Eukaryota; Metazoa; Chordata; Aves; Galliformes; Phasianidae. The record is from RNAcentral.